AUCAUGCGAUCCCUUCGGACG
RNAcentral lists this microRNA (21 nucleotides) under Malus domestica (apple). RNAcentral's name for it is "mdm-miR393e". Its record names the gene mdm-miR393d. Lineage: Eukaryota; Viridiplantae; Streptophyta; Magnoliopsida; Rosales; Rosaceae. The record is from miRBase by way of RNAcentral.